RNAcentral lists this ribosomal RNA (497 nucleotides) under uncultured bacterium. RNAcentral's name for it is "partial 16S ribosomal RNA". It matches the Rfam family "Bacterial small subunit ribosomal RNA", at positions 28 to 507 of the family's 1533-position model. The record is from RNAcentral.
GAUGAACGCUGGCGGCGUGCCUAAUACAUGCAAGUCGAGCGAACAGACGAGGAGCUUGCUCCUUUGACGUUAGCGGCGGACGGGUGAGUAACACGUGGGUAACCUACCUAUAAGACUGGGAUAACUUCGGGAAACCGGAGCUAAUACCGGAUAAUAUUUCGAACCGCAUGGUUCGAUAGUGAAAGAUGGCUUUGCUAUCACUUAUAGAUGGACCUGCGCCGUAUUAGCUAGUUGGUAAGGUAACGGCUUACCAAGGCAACGAUACGUAGCCGACCUGAGAGGGUGUUCGGCCACACUGGAACUGAGACACGGUCCAGACUCCUACGGGAGGCAGCAGUAGGGAAUCUUCCGCAAUGGGCGAAAGCCUGACGGAGCAACGCCGCGUGAGUGAUGAAGGUCUUCGGAUCGUAAAACUCUGUUAUUAGGGAAGAACAAACGUGUAAGUAACUGUGCACGUCUUGACGGUACCUAAUCAGAAAGCCACGGCUAACUACGUG